AACCAGCACCUCAAGUGGUCAGGAUGAUUAUUGGGCCUAAAGCAUCCGUAGCCUGCUCUAUAAGUCUCCGGUUAAAUCCAUCAGCUCAACGGAUAGGCUGCCGGAGAUACUGCAGUACUAGGGAGUGGGAGAGGUAGACGGUACUCGGUAGGAAGGGGUAAAAUCCUUUGAUCUAUCGAUGACCACCUGUGGCGAAGGCGGUCUACCAGAACACGUUCGACGGUGAGGGAUGAAAGCUGGGGGAGCAAACCGG
Molecule: ribosomal RNA, 253 nt
Filed under: uncultured archaeon
Lineage: Archaea
Description: partial 16S ribosomal RNA
Rfam family: Archaeal small subunit ribosomal RNA
Source: RNAcentral